GAGAAAGGAAGAAUACAAAAUGGAAGCCCGGGAUAGAGACCAUCUCCUGGGAAAGGGGGAGGCCACCCAAGGCCUGUCGUGGGGAGGGCUCCACUUCUCAGCCCAUCUGUAGUAGGGCCACAUUUGGGAUAGGCAAGAGCAAGGCCUACUAGAAAGGGAGACUGCUCAUCAAGAAACUGAGGGAGGCCGGGCGUGGUGGCUCAUGCCUGUAAUCCCAGCACUUUGGAAGUCCAAGCUCUCCCACUUGCCCCUCUCUUCUCCCAGCUGAGCCCAGGCCCAGUGCAACUCAAAGAAUGGAAAUUCUCUUCCGCCCACCUCAGCAAUCUGCCUCCCGCUUUGCUGAAAUAAAGCCACCGCCACAGCCGAA
This is a long non-coding RNA of Symphalangus syndactylus (siamang), 367 nucleotides long. RefSeq lists it as uncharacterized. NCBI's taxonomy places the organism in Eukaryota, Metazoa, Chordata, Mammalia, Primates, Hylobatidae. The record is from RefSeq and is a predicted model, not a curated record.